Molecule: unclassified non-coding RNA, 178 nt
Filed under: uncultured Sordariomycetes
Lineage: Eukaryota; Fungi; Ascomycota; Sordariomycetes
Description: sequence contains ITS2
Source: RNAcentral
CAACCCUCAAGCCCCAGCGGCUUGGUGUUGGGGACCGGCGACCUCGCUGCACCUGGUGCAAGCGUCCGCCGCCCCCGAAAUGAAUUGGCGGCCUCGUAGCGGCCUCCUCUGCGUAGUAGCACAACCUCGCAACAGGAGCGCGACGCGGCCACUGCCGUAAAACGCCCAACUUUUUUAG